AUACGUAGGUGACAAGCGUUAUCCGGAUUUACUGGGCGUAAAGGGCGUGUAGGCGGUCUUGCAAGUCAGAAGUGAAAUUCCUGAGCUCAACUCGGGCGCUGCUUCUGAAACUGCAGGACUUGAGUGCUGGAGGGGAUAGCGGAAUUCCUAGUGGAGCGGUAAAAUGCGCAGAUAUUAGGAAGAACACCGGUGGCGAAGGCGGCUAUCUGGACAGUAACUGACGCUGAGUCGCGAAAGCGGGGGGAGCAAACAGGAUUAUAUACCCUGGUUGUCCACGCCGUAAACGAUGAAUACUAGGUGUAGGGGGUAUCGACUCCCUCUGUGCCGCAGUUAACACAAUAAGUAUUCCCCCUGGGGAGUACGUUCGCAAGAAUGAAACUCAAAUGAAUUGGCGGGG
This 397-nucleotide ribosomal RNA is filed under the name uncultured bacterium. RNAcentral's name for it is "partial 16S ribosomal RNA". It matches the Rfam family "Bacterial small subunit ribosomal RNA", at positions 523 to 918 of the family's 1533-position model. The record is from RNAcentral.